AUAAUCAGCGUGCCUCUGUUUCGCACGACGCUGAAGGCGCGGGUGCAGAUUAGGCUGCCCCGCCGCCUCCAGCGUUCCGUAUGCGAAGGUUAUCGUCGACAC
RNAcentral lists this small RNA (102 nucleotides) under Sinorhizobium meliloti 2011. RNAcentral's name for it is "putative ncRNA". The record is from RNAcentral. Lineage: Bacteria; Pseudomonadati; Pseudomonadota; Alphaproteobacteria; Hyphomicrobiales; Rhizobiaceae.